Molecule: ribosomal RNA, 492 nt
Filed under: uncultured bacterium
Lineage: Bacteria
Description: partial 16S ribosomal RNA
Rfam family: Bacterial small subunit ribosomal RNA
Source: RNAcentral
AGUGAACGCUGGCGGUAGGCCUAACACAUGCAAGUCGAACGGCAGCACAGUAAGAGCUUGCUCUUACGGGUGGCGAGUGGCGGACGGGUGAGGAAUACAUCGGAAUCUACUUUUUCGCGGGGGAUAACGUAGGGAAACUUACGCUAAUACCGCAUACGACCUACGGGUGAAAGCAGGGGAUCUUCGGCCCUUGCGCGAUUGAAUGAGCCGAUGUCGGAUUAGCUAGUUGGCGGGGUAAAGGCCCACCAAGGCGACGAUCCGUAGCUGGUCUGAGAGGAUGAUCAGCCACACUGGAACUGAGACACGGUCCAGACUCCUACGGGAGGCAGCAGUGGGGAAUAUUGGACAAUGGGCGCAAGCCUGAUCCAGCCAUACCGCGUGGGUGAAGAAGGCCUUCGGGUUGUAAAGCCCUUUUGUUGGGAAAGAAAAGCAGCAGGUUAAUACCCCGCUGUUCUGACGGUACCCAAAGAAUAAGCACCGGCUAACUUCGUG